UGAGGAAUAUUGCACAAUGGGCGCAAGCCUGAUCCAGCCAUGCCGCGUGCAGGAUGACGGUCCUAUGGAUUGUAAACUGCUUUUGUACAGGAAGAAACAGUUCUACGUGUAGAACCUUGACGGUACUGUAAGAAUAAGGAUCGGCUAACUCCGUGCCAGCAGCCGCGGUAAUACGGAGGAUCCAAGCGUUAUCCGGAAUCAUUGGGUUUAAAGGGUCCGUAGGCGGUUAGAUAAGUCAGUGGUGAAAGCCCAUCGCUCAACGGUGGAACGGCCAUUGAUACUGUCUGACUUGAAUUAUUAGGAAGUAACUAGAAUAUGUAGUGUAGCGGUGAAAUGCUUAGAGAUUACAUGGAAUACCAAUUGCGAAGGCAGGUUACUACUAAUGGAUUGACGCUGAUGGGCGAAAGCGUGGGUAGCGAACAGGAUUAGAUACCCCAGUAGUCCCUGAGCGGGCUGGCAAGGCGCAU
RNAcentral lists this ribosomal RNA (467 nucleotides) under uncultured bacterium. RNAcentral describes it as "bacterial SSU rRNA". It matches the Rfam family "Bacterial small subunit ribosomal RNA", at positions 355 to 825 of the family's 1533-position model. The record is from RNAcentral.